Molecule: ribosomal RNA, 460 nt
Filed under: uncultured bacterium
Lineage: Bacteria
Description: partial 16S ribosomal RNA
Rfam family: Bacterial small subunit ribosomal RNA
Source: RNAcentral
CCUACGGGUGGCAGCAGUGAGGAAUAUUGGUCAAUGGGCGCGAGCCUGAACCAGCCAAGUAGCGUGAAGGAUGACUGCCCUACGGGUUGUAAACUUCUUUUAUAAAGGAAUAAAGUGAGGCACGUGUGCCUUUUUGUAUGUACUUUGUGAAUAAGGCUUGGCUAAAACCGUGCCAGCCGCCGCGGUAAUUCGGAGGAUCCGAGCGUUAUCCGGAUUUUUUGGGUUUAAAGGGAGCGUAGAUGGGUUGUUAAGUCAGUUGUGAAAGUUUGCGGCUCAACCGUAAUAUUGCAAUUGAUACUGGCAGUCUUGAGUGCAGUUGAGGUAGGCGGAAUUCGUGGUGUAGCGGUGAAAUGCUUAGAUAUCACGAAGAACCCCGAUUGCGAAGGCAGCUUACUAAACUGCCACUGACAUUGAUGCUCGAAAGUGUGGGUAUCAAACAGGAUUAGAUACCCCAGUAGUC